Molecule: ribosomal RNA, 567 nt
Filed under: Poaceicola arundinis
Lineage: Eukaryota; Fungi; Ascomycota; Dothideomycetes; Pleosporales; Phaeosphaeriaceae
Description: eukaryotic LSU rRNA
Rfam family: 5.8S ribosomal RNA (bases 237-390)
Source: RNAcentral
AUCGUAACAAGGUUUCCGUAGGUGAACCUGCGGAAGGAUCAUUACAAUUCAGUAGCUUGCUACUGGUCGGGAGUCGCUGUAAGUCCGCAUAGUUUAAUUACUGAUGAGCGGCAGGCACUCUGUCUGAACCCUUGUCUUUUGCGCACUCUUGUUUCCUCGGCGGGCUUGCCCGCCGAUUGGACAAAACUAUAACCUUUUUAAUUUUCAAUCAGCGUCUGAAAAAACUUAAUAAUUACAACUUUCAACAACGGAUCUCUUGGUUCUGGCAUCGAUGAAGAACGCAGCGAAAUGCGAUAAGUAGUGUGAAUUGCAGAAUUCAGUGAAUCAUCGAAUCUUUGAACGCACAUUGCGCCCCUUGGUAUUCCAUGGGGCAUGCCUGUUCGAGCGUCAUUUGUACCCUCAAGCUCUGCUUGGUGUUGGGUGUUUGUCCUCUCCUCUGCGUUUGGACUCGCCUUAAAGCAAUUGGCAGCCAGUGUUUUGGUAUUGAAGCGCAGCACAUUUUGCGAUUCUAGCCUUUAAUACUUGCGUCCAUAAGCCUUUUUUAACUUUGACCUCGAUCAGGUAGCU